AAGUCGUAACAAGGUAACCGUAGGUGAACCUGCGGUUGGAUCAUUAAAAAAGUUCAUUCUGAUUAGCCCCUGUUUGUGUCAAUUGGUUCGUCCGGUCUGUUGAAUGUUCAUAAUUCCAGGCGUUGGCAUUAAACUUGCGGUGAACAGCAGAACACCCACCUUUUGUGAACUGAACUUGUCUCUGGCAGGGGGGCUGUGAAAACAGCCUGUCAGUAUUGCUUUUUGCAAUGCCGUGGACAUCCUGUCAAACACUUGUAAACUUUUUCGUUAACUUCUGUCUGACAUCUAUGUAUAAAUAUACAAAACAACUUUUGGCAACGGAUCUCUUGGCUCUC
This 335-nucleotide unclassified non-coding RNA is filed under the name fungal sp. RNAcentral's name for it is "partial internal transcribed spacer region". The stretch from base 1 to 46 matches the Rfam family "Eukaryotic small subunit ribosomal RNA", at positions 1786 to 1831 of the family's 1831-position model. Lineage: Eukaryota; Fungi. RNAcentral also lists the same sequence under 1 other name. The record is from RNAcentral.